RNAcentral lists this ribosomal RNA (355 nucleotides) under uncultured bacterium. RNAcentral describes it as "bacterial SSU rRNA". It matches the Rfam family "Bacterial small subunit ribosomal RNA", at positions 8 to 353 of the family's 1533-position model. The record is from RNAcentral.
AGAGUUUGAUCCUGGCUCAGGAUGAACGCUAGCUACAGGCUUAACACAUGCAAGUCGAGGGGAAACGACAUCGAAAGCUUGCUUUUGAUGGGCGUCGACCGGCGCACGGGUGAGUAACGCGUAUCCAACCUGCCCACCACUUGGGGAUAGCCUUUCGAAAGAAAGAUUAAUAUCCGAUAGCAUAUAUUUCCCGCAUGGGUUUUAUAUUAAAGAAAUUCGGUAUGAGAUGGGGAUGCGUUCCAUUAGUUUGUUGGCGGGGUAACGGCCCACCAAGACUACGAUGGAUAGGGGUUCUGAGAGGAAGGUCCCCCACAUUGGAACUGAGACACGGUCCAAACUCCUACGGGAGGCAGCA